UACGUAGGGUGCGAGCGUUAAUCGGAAUUACUGGGCGUAAAGCGUGCGCAGGCGGUUAUGUAAGACAGAGGUGAAAUCCCCGGGCUCAACCUGGGAACUGCCUUUGUGACUGCAUGACUAGAGUACGGCAGAGGGGGAUGGAAUUCCGCGUGUAGCAGUGAAAUGCGUAGAGAUGCGGUGGAACACCGAUGGCGAAGGCAAUCCCCUGGGCCUGUACUGACGAUCAUGCACGAAAGAGUGGGGAGCAAACAGG
RNAcentral lists this ribosomal RNA (253 nucleotides) under uncultured bacterium. Its description in RNAcentral is "partial 16S ribosomal RNA". It matches the Rfam family "Bacterial small subunit ribosomal RNA", at positions 524 to 776 of the family's 1533-position model. The record is from RNAcentral.